UCGAACGGUGAACACGGAGCUUGCUCUGUGGGAUCAGUGGCGAACGGGUGAGUAACACGUGAGCAACCUGCCCCUGACUCUGGGAUAAGCGCUGGAAACGGCGUCUAAUACUGGAUAUGUGACGUGACCGCAUGGUCUGCGUCUGGAAAGAAUUUCGGUUGGGGAUGGGCUCGCGGCCUAUCAGCUUGUUGGUGAGGUAAUGGCUCACCAAGGCGUCGACGGGUAGCCGGCCUGAGAGGGUGACCGGCCACACUGGGACUGAGACACGGCCCAGACUCCUACGGGAGGCAGCAGUGGGGAAUAUUGCACAAUGGGCGCAAGCCUGAUGCAGCAACGCCGCGUGAGGGACGACGGCCUUCGGGUUGUAAACCUCUUUUAGCAGGGAAGAAGCGAAAGUGACGGUACCUGCAGAAAAAGCGCCGGCUAACUACGUGCCAGCAGCCGCGGUAAUACGUAGGGCGCAAGCGUUAUCCGGAAUUAUUGGGCGUAAAGAGCUCGUAGGCGGUUUGUCGCGUCUGCUGUGAAAUCCGGAGGCUCAACCUCCGGCCUGCAGUGGGUACGGGCAGACUAGAGUGCGGUAGGGGAGAUUGGAAUUCCUGGUGUAGCGGUGGAAUGCGCAGAUAUCAGGAGGAACACCGAUGGCGAAGGCAGAUCUCUGGGCCGUAACUGACGCUGAGGAGCGAAAGGGUGGGGAGCAAACAGGCUUAGAUACCCUGGUAGUCCACCCCGUAAACGUUGGGAACUAGUUGUGGGGUCCAUUCCACGGAUUCCGUGACGCAGCUAACGCAUUAAGUUCCCC
This 799-nucleotide ribosomal RNA is filed under the name Microbacterium sp. V2M23. Its description in RNAcentral is "bacterial SSU rRNA". It matches the Rfam family "Bacterial small subunit ribosomal RNA", at positions 62 to 870 of the family's 1533-position model. The record is from RNAcentral. Lineage: Bacteria; Bacillati; Actinomycetota; Actinomycetes; Micrococcales; Microbacteriaceae.